UACGUGGGGUCCAAGCGUUAUCCGGAUUUACUGGGCGUAAAGCGUGCGCAGGCGGUUGUGCAAGACAGAUGUGAAAUCCCCGGGCUCAACCUGGGAACUGCAUUUGUGACUGCACAGCUUGAGUGCGGCAGAGGGGGAUGGAAUUCCGCGUGUAGCAGUGAAAUGCGUAGAUAUGCGGAGGAACACCGGUGGCGAAGGCGGAUUUCUGGACCAGUUCUGACACUGAUGAGCGAAAGCCAGGGGAGCAAACAGG
This 253-nucleotide ribosomal RNA is filed under the name uncultured bacterium. RNAcentral's name for it is "partial 16S ribosomal RNA". It matches the Rfam family "Bacterial small subunit ribosomal RNA", at positions 524 to 776 of the family's 1533-position model. The record is from RNAcentral.